Molecule: ribosomal RNA, 521 nt
Filed under: uncultured bacterium
Lineage: Bacteria
Description: bacterial SSU rRNA
Rfam family: Bacterial small subunit ribosomal RNA
Source: RNAcentral
UGGGGAAUAUUGGACAAUGGGCGAAAGCCUGAUCCAGCCAUGCCGCAUGAGUGAAGAAGGCCUUUGGGUUGUAAAGCUCUUUUAGUGAGGAAGAUAAUGACGGUACUCACAGAAGAAGUCCUGGCUAACUCCGUGCCAGCAGCCGCGGUAAUACGGAGAGGGCUAGCGUUAUUCGGAAUUAUUGGGCGUAAAGGGCGCGUAGGCUGGUUAAUAAGUUAAAAGUGAAAUCCCGAGGCUUAACCUUGGAAUUGCUUUUAAAACUAUUAAUCUAGAGAUUGAAAGAGGAUAGAGGAAUUCCUGACGUAGAGGUAAAAUUCGUAAAUAUUAGGAGGAACACCAGUGGCGAAGGCGUCUAUCUGGUUCAAAUCUGACGCUGAAGCGCGAAGGCGUGGGGAGCAAACAGGAUUAGAUACCCUGGUAGUCCACGCUGUAAACGAUGAAUGUUAAAUAUGGGAAGUUUACUUUCUGUAUUACAGCUAACGCGUUAAACAUUCCGCCUGGGGACUACGGUCGCAAGAUUA